GGGCCCGCACAAGCGGUGGAGCAUGUGGUUUAAUUCGAUGAUACGCGAGGAACCUUACCAGGGCUUAAAUGUAGAACGACCGAUUUGGAAACAAGUCUUCUCUUUGAGCGGUCUACAAGGUGCUGCAUGGUUGUCGUCAGCUCGUGCCGUGAGGUGUCGGGUUAAGUCCCUUAACGAGCGCAACCCCUAUCUCUAGUUGCCAGCGGAUAAUGCCGGGGACUCUAGAGAAACUGCCCGUGCAAACGGUGAGGAAGGUGGGGAUGACGUCAAAUCAUCACGGCCCUUACGUCCUGGGGCUACACACGUGCUACAAUGGUCGGUACAGAGGGCAGCUACCACGUGAGUGGAUG
This 350-nucleotide ribosomal RNA is filed under the name uncultured bacterium. RNAcentral describes it as "bacterial SSU rRNA". It matches the Rfam family "Bacterial small subunit ribosomal RNA", at positions 917 to 1267 of the family's 1533-position model. The record is from RNAcentral.